UGCAGUCGAGCGGUAGCAGGUCCUUCGGGAUGCUGACGAGCGGCGGACGGGUGAGUAAUGCAUAGGAAUCUGCCCGGUAGUGGGGGAUAACCUGGGGAAACCCAGGCUAAUACCGCAUACGUCCUACGGGAGAAAGGGGGCUUUGGCUCCCGCUAUUGGAUGAGCCUAUGUCGGAUUAGCUAGUUGGUGAGGUAAUGGCUCACCAAGGCAACGAUCCGUAGCUGGUCUGAGAGGAUGAUCAGCCACAUCGGGACUGAGACACGGCCCGAACUCCUACGGGAGGCAGCAGUGGGGAAUAUUGGACAAUGGGGGCAACCCUGAUCCAGCCAUGCCGCGUGUGUGAAGAAGGCCUUCGGGUUGUAAAGCACUUUCAGCGAGGAAGAACGCCUAUCGGUUAAUACCCGGUAGGAAAGACAUCACUCGCAGAAGAAGCACCGGCUAACUCCGUGCCAGCAGCCGCGGUAAUACGGAGGGUGCAAGCGUUAAUCGGAAUUACUGGGCGUAAAGCGCGCGUAGGUGGCUUGAUAAGCCGGUUGUGAAAGCCCCGGGCUCAACCUGGGAACGGCAUCCGGAACUGUCAGGCUAGAGUGCAGGAGAGGAAGGUAGAAUUCCCGGUGUAGCGGUGAAAUGCGUAGAGAUCGGGAGGAAUACCAGUGGCGAAGGCGGCCUUCUGGACUGACACUGACACUGAGGUGCGAAAGCGUGGGUAGCAAACAGGAUUAGAUACCCUGGUAGUCCACGCCGUAAACGAUGUCGACCAGCCGUUGGGUGCCUAGCGCACUUUGUGGCGAAGUUAACGCGAUAAGUCGACCGCCUGGGGAGUACGGCCGCAAGGUUAAAACUCAAAUGAAUUGACGGGGGCCCGCACAAGCGGUGGAGCAUGUGGUUUAAUUCGAUGCAACGCGAAGAACCUUACCUACCCUUGACAUCCUG
RNAcentral lists this ribosomal RNA (933 nucleotides) under uncultured bacterium. RNAcentral describes it as "bacterial SSU rRNA". It matches the Rfam family "Bacterial small subunit ribosomal RNA", at positions 56 to 991 of the family's 1533-position model. The record is from RNAcentral.